RNAcentral lists this unclassified non-coding RNA (160 nucleotides) under uncultured fungus. Its description in RNAcentral is "sequence contains ITS1, 5.8S rRNA gene". Lineage: Eukaryota; Fungi. The record is from RNAcentral.
CUGAAGAUACUAGGGUUUUGAGACUGCGUCUAAAGCGGACGCGUGCUCGACUCUUACUCUUUAUCCACACACACCUCUGUGCACUAUGGGAUGCAAAAUCCCCUUUUCACAUAAAACCGAGUUAUAUGCAUGUCUAUUUUAUGCUCUACGGAGUAAUAUA